GGGGAUUCCGUCCAGGCGGCCAAUCUAAGGCGCCCGUACAACCUUCCGGCCAAUGGGGCCUCCGCUCUUAUCGCGAAGUCCCUUCAACGCCCUGUUUCCUCUCUCGGGUUUCCUCCCUCCCCCGCCUAGGAGGGGGAAAGAGGAAAGGGGGAGUGUGGCGGGGCGGGUGAUAAUGGGGAGGUAUCAGGGCAAAUAAUAGAGCAGGGGGUGGGCGAAGAGAGCGCCAGUGCGUAGCGACGAUUCUGGGAGAGGAGGUGCUCGGAGGAAAGGGCGGGGGUUGCUGAUGUAAUGGGGAGAAGUGAUUAAUCCUUCGGUUCGCCGUUUCAGCUUCCCCCCUACCCCAACCUUCACCCGAUUUUUUUGAGCUGAAAAAAAAGUGGAACGAGGGAGCCAAUCUUUGGUCCCACAAACUGCAAGGAAAAGAAAAACCCUCAACAGGAAUUACCUUUAUACCUGAUGCCCCCAACAUAAUCUCUCUCCAAGGGAAACGUGUUUUUAUUGCCUUGCGGCUGAAAAUGUAUUCUCGAUUCUCCCCCUUCUCUCUUUUGUUGUGCAUUUUUUGGAUGUGGUAAAACUGGCAGUUUAUCUGAUUAUCUGGUUUUCAGAACUUUGGGCGAUGUCUCUGAGUGUCAUCAGUUGCUCUCUAGGUUUGACAUAGAUAAUUAAGCAACUACAAAGCGUGAUAAAGCUUUUGAGAGGGAGGAAAAUGUAUUUUGGAAGGAGGGAGAGACGCAAAGAGGCGAGCCUGUGUGUUGAGUCCCAGACUUGGUGUGUGACUACAGGCAAAGUACUUCACCUUUCUAGAUGUCAGCCCCGCCCCCCUCACCUCCCAAGUUUAAAUAAGAACUUAUUUUAGACUACAUGAUCCUGUUUUCAAUUUUUAAGAGUUCUGUGAUUUUGAGAUGAUCUCUCUUUAGUCCAGAAAAAUAGAGAAACGUAGGUCUAUGUUUGUUUCUCAAAAAAAUAUUUGAGGAGGACAGCUGUUACAAAA
This 991-nucleotide long non-coding RNA is filed under the name Homo sapiens (human). RNAcentral's name for it is "non-protein coding lnc-MSH6-2:5". Lineage: Eukaryota; Metazoa; Chordata; Mammalia; Primates; Hominidae. The record is from RNAcentral.